GACGAACGCUGGCGGCGUGCUUAACACAUGCAAGUCGAGCGGUAAGGCCCUUUCGGGGGUACACGAGCGGCGAACGGGUGAGUAACACGUGGGUGACCUGCCCUCAGCUCUGGGAUAAGCCUGGGAAACCAGGUCUAAUACUGGAUAUGACUCCAUGACGCAUGUUGUGGGGUGGAAAGCCUUGUGCGGCUGAGGAUGGGCCCGCGGCCUAUCAGCUUGUUGGUGGGGUGAUGGCCUACCAAGGCGACGACGGGUAGCCGGCCUGAGAGGGCGACCGGCCACACUGGGACUGAGACACGGCCCAGACUCCUACGGGAGGCAGCAGUGGGGAAUCUUGCGCAAUGGGCGAAAGCCUGACGCAGCGACGCCGCGUGAGGGAUGACGGCCUC
RNAcentral lists this ribosomal RNA (389 nucleotides) under uncultured bacterium. Its description in RNAcentral is "bacterial SSU rRNA". It matches the Rfam family "Bacterial small subunit ribosomal RNA", at positions 28 to 418 of the family's 1533-position model. The record is from RNAcentral.